Molecule: ribosomal RNA, 253 nt
Filed under: uncultured Gemmatimonas sp.
Lineage: Bacteria; Pseudomonadati; Gemmatimonadota; Gemmatimonadia; Gemmatimonadales; Gemmatimonadaceae
Description: partial 16S ribosomal RNA
Rfam family: Bacterial small subunit ribosomal RNA
Source: RNAcentral
UACAGAGGGUGCGAGCGUUGUCCGGAAUCACUGGGCGUAAAGGGCGCGUAGGUGGCGCGACAAGUCGGUGGUGAAAGUUCGACGCUCAACGUCGAGUCGGCCACCGAUACUGUUGGGCUCGAGCACUGUAGAGGCAGAUGGAAUUCCGGGUGUAGCGGUGGAAUGCGUAGAGAUCCGGAAGAACACCGGUGGCGAAGGCGGUCUGCUGGGCAGUUGCUGACACUGAGGCGCGACAGCGUGGGGAGCAAACAGG